RNAcentral lists this ribosomal RNA (279 nucleotides) under uncultured bacterium. Its description in RNAcentral is "partial 16S ribosomal RNA". It matches the Rfam family "Bacterial small subunit ribosomal RNA", at positions 506 to 784 of the family's 1533-position model. The record is from RNAcentral.
UGACAGCAGCCGCGGUAAUACGGAGGGGGUUAGCGUUGUUCGGAAUUACUGGGCGUAAAGCGCGCGUAGGCGGCUAAUUAAGUCGGGUGUGAAAGCCCCGGGCUCAACCUGGGAACUGCAUUCGAUACUGAUUGGCUAGAGUAUGAGAGAGGAUAGUGGAAUUUCCGGUGUAGCGGUGAAAUGCGUAGAGAUCGGAAGGAACAUCAGUGGCGAAGGCGACUGUCUGGCUUAAUACUGACGCUGAGGUGCGAAAGCGUGGGGAGCAAACAGGAUUAGAUA